CAUGCAAGUCGAACGAACUCUGGUAUUGAUUGGUGCUUGCAUCAUGAUUUACAUUUGAGUGAGUGGCGAACUGGUGAGUAACACGUGGGAAACCUGCCCAGAAGCGGGGGAUAACACCUGGAAACAGAUGCUAAUACCGCAUAACAACUUGGACCGCAUGGUCCGAGCUUGAAAGAUGGCUUCGGCUAUCACUUUUGGAUGGUCCCGCGGCGUAUUAGCUAGAUGGUGGGGUAACGGCUCACCAUGGCAAUGAUACGUAGCCGACCUGAGAGGGUAAUCGGCCACAUUGGGACUGAGACACGGCCCAAACUCCUACGGGAGGCAGCAGUAGGGAAUCUUCCACAAUGGACGAAAGUCUGAUGGAGCAACGCCGCGUGAGUGAAGAAGGGUUUCGGCUCGUAAAACUCUGUUGUUAAAGAAGAACAUAUCUGAGAGUAACUGUUCAGGUAUUGACGGUAUUUAACCAGAAAGCCACGGCUAACUACGUGCCAGCAGCCGCGGUAAUACGUAGGUGGCAAGCGUUGUCCGGAUUUAUUGGGCGUAAAGCGAGCGCAGGCGGUUUUUUAAGUCUGAUGUGAAAGCCUUCGGCUCAACCGAAGAAGUGCAUCGGAAACUGGGAAACUUGAGUGCAGAAGAGGACAGUGGAACUCCAUGUGUAGCGGUGAAAU
This 668-nucleotide ribosomal RNA is filed under the name Lactiplantibacillus plantarum. Its description in RNAcentral is "bacterial SSU rRNA". It matches the Rfam family "Bacterial small subunit ribosomal RNA", at positions 54 to 687 of the family's 1533-position model. Lineage: Bacteria; Bacillati; Bacillota; Bacilli; Lactobacillales; Lactobacillaceae. The record is from RNAcentral.